GGCAGGCCUAAUACAUGCAAGUCGAACGAGAUUAAGAGGCUUGCUUCUUAUGAAAGUGGCGCACGGGUGCGUAACGCGUAUGCAACCUACCUUAAUCAGGGGGAUAGCCCGAAGAAAUUCGGAUUAAGACCGCAUAAAAACACAGGAUAGCAUUAUCCGAUGUUCAAAUAUUUAUAGGAUUAAGAUGGGCAUGCGUGUCAUUAGCUAGUUGGCGGGGUAACGGCCCACCAAGGCGACGAUGACUAGGGGAUCUGAGAGGAUGACCCCCCACACUGGUACUGAGACACGGACCAGACUCCUACGGGAGGCAGCAGUAAGGAAUAUUGGUCAAUGGAGGGAACUCUGAACCAGCCAUGCCGCGUGCAGGAAGACAGCCCUCUGGGUCGUAAACUGCUUUUAUUCGGGAAUAAACCUUUCUACGUGUAGGAAGCUGAAUGUACCGAAGGAAUAAGGAUCGGCUAACUCCGUGCCAGCAGCCGCGGUAAUACGGAGGAUCCAAGCGUUAUCCGGAUUUAUUGGGUUUAAAGGGUGCGUAGGCGGCUUAUUAAGUCAGGGGUGAAAGACGGUGGCUCAACCAUCGCAGUGCCCUUGAUACUGAUGAGCUUGAAUACACUAGAGGUAGGCGGAAUGUGACAAGUAGCGGUGAAAUGCAUAGAUAUGUCACAGAACACCGAUUGCGAAGGCAGCUUACUAUGGUGUUAUUGACGCUGAGGCACGAAAGCGUGGGGAUCAAACAGGAUUAGAUACCCUGGUAGUCCACGCCCUAAACGAUGAAUACUCGCUGUUAGCGAUAUACAGUUAGCGGCUAAGCGAAAGCGUUAAGUAUUCCACCUGGGGAGUACGCCCGCAAGGGUGAAACUCAAAGGAAUUGACGGGGGCCCGCACAAGCGGAGGAGCAUGUGGUUUAAUUCGAUGAUACGCGAGGAACCUUACCCGGGCUUGAAAGUUAGUGAAUGAUCUAGAGAUAGAUCAGUGAGCAAUCACACGAAACUAGGUGCUGCAUGGCUGUCGUCAGCUCGUGCCGUGAGGUGUUGGGUUAAGUCCCGCAACGAGCGCAACCCCUAUGUUUAGUUGCCAGCACGUUAAGGUGGGGACUCUAAACAGACUGCCUGUGCAAACAGAGAGGAAGGAGGGGACGACGUCAAGUCAUCAUGGCCCUUACGUCCGGGGCUACACACGUGCUACAAUGGAUGGUACAGAGGGCAGCAAGCUGGCAACAGCAAGCGAAUCUCAAAAAGCCAUUCACAGUUCGGAUAGAGGUCUGCAACUCGACCUCUUGAAGUUGGAUUCGCUAGUAAUCGCGUAUCAGCAAUGACGCGGUGAAUACGUU
This 1330-nucleotide ribosomal RNA is filed under the name uncultured bacterium. Its description in RNAcentral is "bacterial SSU rRNA". It matches the Rfam family "Bacterial small subunit ribosomal RNA", at positions 41 to 1372 of the family's 1533-position model. The record is from RNAcentral.